Molecule: ribosomal RNA, 207 nt
Filed under: uncultured bacterium
Lineage: Bacteria
Description: partial 16S ribosomal RNA
Rfam family: Bacterial small subunit ribosomal RNA
Source: RNAcentral
AGCGUAGACGGUAAAGCAAGUCUGAAGUGAAAGCCCGCGGCUCAACUGCGGGACUGCUUUGGAAACUGUUUAACUGGAGUGCUGGAGAGGUAAGCGGAAUUCCUAGUGUAGCGGUGAAAUGCGUAGAUAUUAGGAGGAACACCAGUGGCGAAGGCGGCUUACUGGACAGUAACUGACGUUGAGGCUCGAAAGCGUGGGGAGCAAACA